AAAAUUUUACAUCGAAUGUCAUUAUAGUCUAUUUAACCUUGCAUGUUUGUUAUCCAGUUUUUAUCAGGUCAUCGUCCUAUAUGAUGCCACGUAACUGCCAGCUGUGACAUGGCCAAACUUAAAAAACAAGUGGAAAAGAAAAUGGAAAAACUAAGACGAUUCUGGGAAACAAAGAAGAUAAAAAAUCAGUCGGAGAAAAACAAGGUUACAGAGACAGGGAGGAUAGCGGAGGUCUAACGGCGCCGUCAGUCGGAGAAGAAAAGGUUACAGAGACGGGAAAAUAGCGGAGAUCCAACGCUGCCGUCAAUUGGAGAUCGGGACAGGUGAAGCUACUUUCGCAGCAGCUGCUUCUCCACAGUUUUGAGCUUACCCUGCUGGAGUGGCUUAAGAUUUUAAUAAUCAAGGCUGUGUGGGGUUUGCUUGGAUGAAUGAUUUGAUUUUCGUUUGCAAUGAAAGGAUUCACUGGGUUUGAUCCACUAAACUACCCUUUCCUUCUUAAUUUCAUUGGGUUUACUUUUUGUUUCCCCCUUGGGUUUCUGGGACUUCCUUUCUUGCUUGAUUUGAUAGAUUAUUGCAGGACCUAUUCCAUUUAUGUUUAUAGCAAUUCUUAUGGAGCUAAUAGUUUGUCCUUCUCGGCUAUAUUUGAUUAUCUUGUGCGAAGCUAAAUGAUUUUUCAUUAUGUGUGCUUCCUGUGAAGCUAUAGUUGAAGACCGAGGCUCGUUUGUUUACUUCUAAUUUCAUAUGCGGUGCUAAUUAAUUAAUUAAAGUUUAUUAGAUUGAUCCUUUUGUGCAGGAUUUGGUACUGAAUUAGGGUGAAGUCGGGAAAUUGAGAUGGAUCUGAACCCUAUUAAGGAUGCAUUUGAUCGUGAUAGUAGUCCGUCGGCGUCUUCAUCCUCUUCUUCUAUCGGGAAGAAAAGUUCUGCGGAAGUUGGUCUGAUUUUACAUAUUUUCCUCUGGUUGCAACUUCUGCUCGCCGAAACUUCCUCGCAGGCGACAGUUAGAUCGCUGUCAAUGGCUUUGGGCGGAGUUCUUCGAAACAUGGCUUUGGGGUGGGGGUCUUGGAAACUUGAUGUAGAACAGAGGAGAGAAGAGCAUUUGUUAUGAUGGAAAAUUGGUUAUGAUGGAAAGAAAAGAAGGGUAAAAAGAAGAGUACAAUUAGAGACAAGUGAUUCAGCUUAUGAGCAAAUAACCAUUUCAGUGAUUAUGAUAAGUUCAAUAACCUAUUAGUUUGGUAAUGAGUCCAAGAAUACUGACCAUUGUCUCGAAUUCAAAUCUCAUGGUCCCGAUUAAUUAACUGAAAACAAAUUUAUCAAUUCCGUAUUGAAUUUUACAUAUAAAAAAGUCACAAUUCAACUAGAAGCUCUCCCGCCAAAUUUUAACCCCUUAA
This 1387-nucleotide long non-coding RNA is filed under the name Linum usitatissimum (flax). Its description in RNAcentral is "long non-coding RNA (LUSI_LNC003600)". The record is from RNAcentral. Lineage: Eukaryota; Viridiplantae; Streptophyta; Magnoliopsida; Malpighiales; Linaceae.